GAUGAACGCUGGCGGCGUGCCUAAUACAUGCAAGUCGAGCGAACAGACGAGGAGCUUGCUCCUCUGACGUUAGCGGCGGACGGGUGAGUAACACGUGGAUAACCUACCUAUAAGACUGGGAUAACUUCGGGAAACCGGAGCUAAUACCGGAUAACAUGUUGAACCGCAUGGUUCAACAGUGAAAGACGGUCUUGCUGUCACUUAUAGAUGGAUCCGCGCCGCAUUAGCUAGUUGGUAAGGUAACGGCUUACCAAGGCAACGAUGCGUAGCCGACCUGAUGGGGGGUACGCCACCCCGGAAGCUGACCAGCGACCCGGCGCCUUAGAGACGGCGCAGGUGGGUACGUUUCCCAAUGGGGCGAAAGCUUGCGGAAGAAGCGCAGGCCGGAUGAAGAAGGUCUUCGGUCGGGAAAACUCUCUUCUAGUGAAGAACAAAUGUGUAAGUAACUAUGCACGUCUUGACGGUACCUAAUCAGAAAGCCACGGCUAACUACGUG
RNAcentral lists this ribosomal RNA (496 nucleotides) under uncultured bacterium. RNAcentral's name for it is "partial 16S ribosomal RNA". It matches the Rfam family "Bacterial small subunit ribosomal RNA", at positions 28 to 507 of the family's 1533-position model. The record is from RNAcentral.